CCUACGGGCGGCUGCAGUGGGGAAUAUUGGGCAAUGGAGGCAACUCUGACCCAGCAACGCCGCGUGAAUGAUGAAGGUCUUCGGAUUGUAAAGUUCUGUGAUGGGGGAUGAACACAAUGACGGUACCCCAAUAGCAAGCCACGGCUAACUACGUGCCAGCCGCCGCGGGAAUACGUAGGGGGCAAGCGUUAUCCGGAAUGACUGGGCGUAAAGGGUGCGUAGGUGGUUUAGUAAGUUGGCGGUGUAAUUCCGGGGCUCAACCUCGGCGCUACCGCCAAAACUAUUAGACUAGAGUGCCGGAGGGGGAAGUGGAAUUCCUAGUGUAGCGGUGAAAUGCGUAGAUAGUAGGAGGAACACCAGUGGCGAAGGCGGCUUACUGGACUGUAACUGACGUUGAGGCUCGAAAGCGUGGGGAGCAAACAGGAUUAGAUACCCCGGUAGUC
Molecule: ribosomal RNA, 443 nt
Filed under: uncultured bacterium
Lineage: Bacteria
Description: partial 16S ribosomal RNA
Rfam family: Bacterial small subunit ribosomal RNA
Source: RNAcentral